CAAGCAGUUGACAAGUUUAACA
RNAcentral lists this small nuclear RNA (22 nucleotides) under Arabidopsis thaliana (thale cress). RNAcentral's name for it is "snRNA_16367". Lineage: Eukaryota; Viridiplantae; Streptophyta; Magnoliopsida; Brassicales; Brassicaceae. The record is from RNAcentral.